This 465-nucleotide ribosomal RNA is filed under the name Vreelandella stevensii. Its description in RNAcentral is "partial 16S ribosomal RNA". It matches the Rfam family "Bacterial small subunit ribosomal RNA", at positions 338 to 795 of the family's 1533-position model. The record is from RNAcentral. Lineage: Bacteria; Pseudomonadati; Pseudomonadota; Gammaproteobacteria; Oceanospirillales; Halomonadaceae.
CCUACGGGUGGCAGCAGUGGGGAAUUUUGGACAAUGGGGGGAACCCUGAUCCAGCCAUGCCGCGUGUGUGAAGAAGGCCCUCGGGUUGUAAAGCACUUUCAGUGAGGAAGAACGCCUGGUGGUUAAUACCCAUCAGGAAAGACAUCACUCACAGAAGAAGCACCGGCUAACUCCGUGCCAGCAGCCGCGGUAAUACGGAGGGUGCGAGCGUUAAUCGGAAUUACUGGGCGUAAAGCGCGCGUAGGUGGCUUGAUAAGCCGGUUGUGAAAGCCCCGGGCUCAACCUGGGAACGGCAUCCGGAACUGUCAAGCUAGAGUGCAGGAGAGGAAGGUAGAAUUCCCGGUGUAGCGGUGAAAUGCGUAGAGAUCGGGAGGAAUACCAGUGGCGAAGGCGGCCUUCUGGACUGACACUGACACUGAGGUGCGAAAGCGUGGGUAGCAAACAGGAUUAGAUACCCCAGUAGUC